This 393-nucleotide ribosomal RNA is filed under the name uncultured bacterium. RNAcentral describes it as "bacterial SSU rRNA". It matches the Rfam family "Bacterial small subunit ribosomal RNA", at positions 355 to 739 of the family's 1533-position model. The record is from RNAcentral.
UGGGGAAUAUUGGACAAUGGGGGCAACCCUGAUCCAGCCAUGCCGCGUGUGUGAAGAAGGCCUUUUGGUUGUAAAGCACUUUAAGCAGGGAGGAGAGGCUAAUGGUUAAUACCCAUUAGAUUAGACGUUACCUGCAGAAUAAGCSCCGGCUAACUCUGUGCCAGCAGCCGCGGUAAUACAGAGGGUGCGAGCGUUAAUYGGAAUUACUGGGCGUAAAGCGAGUGUAGGUGGCUCAUUAAGUCACAUGUGAAAUCCCCGGGCUUAACCUGGGAACUGCAUGUGAUACUGGUGGUGCUAGAAUAUGUGAGAGGGAAGUAGAAUUCCAGGUGUAGCGGUGAAAUGCGUAGAGAUCUGGAGGAAUACCGAUGGCGAAGGCAGCUUCCUGGCAUAAUA